This 492-nucleotide ribosomal RNA is filed under the name Triticum aestivum (bread wheat). Its description in RNAcentral is "partial small subunit ribosomal RNA". Lineage: Eukaryota; Viridiplantae; Streptophyta; Magnoliopsida; Poales; Poaceae. The record is from RNAcentral.
AUGGCGCGGGGCGGAUUUGGCGGAGGGCGCAAGGCUCCACUGCCAAAUCAGACUCGCCAUAUGGUGUGGCAGCGGCCAGAUCCACCGUCGCCGGCGGCUGGUGGUUCGAGAUCUGGAGGUGGUGAGGUCGGAGACAGAUGGGAAGCUGCCGCGCGGGCCAUGAGCGGGGCGACCAAGGAGACGACGACGGGCGCCAAGGAGCCUCCUCCACACCCUCCACCUCCACCUCCACCGACUGGACAAGUUGCGACCAAGGGCACCAACAAGAUCUGCAUCAACUGCUCCCUCUCAGAUUAUGUUGCAUGGCCAUCCCUGCCUCACAUUGUUCCACUUGAGGAAGGGUCUAUGGAAGGGGGAGAGAACUGUAGUACUUAUACAGUUGAGUCUCCAUCUGGGUCCCCAACUCAAGAUAGCGUGAUCUAUGAGGAAUAUGCUCCACGUAGACAGAUGCAGAAGCUGGAAAAGUGGAGGACGUGGCCACCAACAGAAUGA